Molecule: ribosomal RNA, 1346 nt
Filed under: uncultured bacterium
Lineage: Bacteria
Description: bacterial SSU rRNA
Rfam family: Bacterial small subunit ribosomal RNA
Source: RNAcentral
GACGAACUUUGGCGGCGUGCUUAACACAUGCAAGUCGAACGGAAAGGCCCUGCUUUUGUGGGGUGCUCGAGUGGCGAACGGGUGAGUAACACGUGAGUAACCUGCCCUUGACUUUGGGAUAACUUCAGGAAACUGGGGCUAAUACCGGAUAGGAGCUCCUGCUGCAUGGUGGGGGUUGGAAAGUUUCGGCGGUUGGGGAUGGACUCGCGGCUUAUCAGCUUGUUGGUGGGGUAGUGGCUUACCAAGGCUUUGACGGGUAGCCGGCCUGAGAGGGUGACCGGCCACAUUGGGACUGAGAUACGGCCCAGACUCCUACGGGAGGCAGCAGUGGGGAAUAUUGCACAAUGGGCGGAAGCCUGAUGCAGCAACGCCGCGUGCGGGAUGACGGCCUUCGGGUUGUAAACCGCUUUCGCCUGUGACGAAGCGUGAGUGACGGUAAUGGUUAAAGAAGCACCGGCUAACUACGUGCCAGCAGCCGCGGUGAUACGUAGGGUGCGAGCGUUGUCCGGAUUUAUUGGGCGUAAAGGGCUCGUAGGUGGUUGAUCGCGUCGGAAGUGUAAUCUUGGGGCUUAACCCUGAGCGUGCUUUCGAUACGGGUUGACUUGAGGAAGGUAGGGGAGAAUGGAAUUCCUGGUGGAGCGGUGGAAUGCGCAGAUAUCAGGAGGAACACCAGUGGCGAAGGCGGUUCUCUGGGCCUUUCCUGACGCUGAGGAGCGAAAGCGUGGGGAGCGAACAGGCUUAGAUACCCUGGUAGUCCACGCUGUAAACGGUGGGUACUAGGUGUGGGGUCCAUUCCACGGGUUCCGUGCCGUAGCUAACGCUUUAAGUACCCCGCCUGGGGAGUACGGCCGCAAGGCUAAAACUCAAAGGAAUUGACGGGGCCCCGCACAAGCGGCGGAGCAUGCGGAUUAAUUCGAUGCAACGCGUAGAACCUUACCUGGGUUUGGCAUGGAUCGGGAGCGCUCAGAGAUGGGUGUGCCUCUUUUGGGGUCGGUUCACAGGUGGUGCAUGGCUGUCGUCAGCUCGUGUCGUGAGAUGUUGGGUUAAGUCCCGCAACGAGCGCAACCCUUGUUCACUGUUGCCAGCACGUUAUGGUGGGGACUCAGUGGAGACCGCCGGGGUCAACUCGGAGGAAGGUGGGGAUGACGUCAAGUCAUCAUGCCCCUUAUGUCCAGGGCUUCACGCAUGCUACAAUGGCUGGUACAGAGAGUGGCGAGCCUGUGAGGGUGAGCGAAUCUCGGAAAGCCGGUCUCAGUUCGGAUUGGGGUCUGCAACUCGACCUCAUGAAGUCGGAGUCGCUAGUAAUCGCAGAUCAGCAACGCUGCGGUGAAUACGUUCCCGGGGCU